RNAcentral lists this transfer RNA (76 nucleotides) under Gammaproteobacteria bacterium. Its description in RNAcentral is "tRNA-Glu". It matches the Rfam family "tRNA". Rfam says of the family: Transfer RNA (tRNA) molecules are approximately 80 nucleotides in length. Their secondary structure includes four short double-helical elements and three loops (D, anti-codon, and T loops). Further hydrogen bonds mediate the characteristic L-shaped molecular structure. tRNAs have two regions of fundamental functional importance: the anti-codon, which is responsible for specific mRNA codon recognition, and the 3' end, to which the tRNAs corresponding amino acid is attached (by aminoacyl-tRNA synthetases). tRNAs cope with the degeneracy of the genetic code in two manners: having more than one tRNA (with a specific anti-codon) for a particular amino acid; and 'wobble' base-pairing, i.e. permitting non-standard base-pairing at the 3rd anti-codon position. Lineage: Bacteria; Pseudomonadati; Pseudomonadota; Gammaproteobacteria. The record is from RNAcentral.
GUCCCCAUCGUCUAGAGGCCUAGGACUCUUGGUUUUCAUCCAAGCAACAGGGGUUCGACUCCCCUUGGGGACACCA